CCCGUACGGCGCAGCCAUUGGUGUUCUCUAGUCAGAUGAUGAGGGAGGGCCGGACUAAGUACCCAUCCCUCCAUGCCUGACACUCAACCUGUUGGAACUGUGAGCCUCAGGGAAUUGAAGUCCGGCUCUGAAAGCCCCUCUCUCCUCCUUCCGUCUGGUCUCAGCUCGCCCGGCAGGCGGAUUGAUCGCUCGCCGGUGCUGAAACCGCCAGCGGCCGCGGAGGCUCUCGCUGUUGCUGUGCUAAAAAUAAGCUGAUGCGGAUCCGGUUUUCCCUCCAGGCUUCGCAUCGCACGACAUGUCUACCACGGAGGGGGUCGUGGAGGAGUCUCGGGAGGAGGAAGGUAGGAGUUGUCUUCAUCCUCAAAUGUUCCCAAGUUUCGUUUUCCA
Molecule: long non-coding RNA, 387 nt
Organism: Lampris incognitus (smalleye Pacific opah)
Lineage: Eukaryota; Metazoa; Chordata; Actinopteri; Lampriformes; Lampridae
Exons: 3
Source: RefSeq, a predicted model, not a curated record